AAAAAAGGAAACGAUUGAACACUUGCCUGGGUCAAGAAUGCGAGAGGAGCUCAGGGGACAAGAUUGGGAGCUUGAAGCAAUCUUUGAUAUGAUAGAAAUGUUCCCAGCUUUGAUUGACAUCUGGGGGAAAGGUUUCAAGAGCUUAAGAAAGGCAGGAUUAAGUUUGAGGAGAAACGAGAAGACCUGAAACAAUGGCUCCCACGCAUGAGUGGGAAAACAGAUGCGAAGAACAUCUGCGAUUCGGUUUCCACGUCACGUGAUGAUAAGGUGCCAGGGGUUUCCAGUAGAUGAUCCAGGCUUUAAAGAGUCUCACUGAGCUUGAGUCCUGCCAGAUUUCACACCACACACUGCCAUCUUUGGUAAGGAUAUCUAUUUAACUAUCUGAUCAAAUGCACUGUCUUUCUCACAAGCUCCUAUUGUGGUCUCUCUGUGUCUGACUCAGGAAUGGAAGGGAGUAUUCGCAGGUUAUGUUCCGUGUCUGCUGCUAUUGUAUAUUCUGAUUUAUAUAGGGUCCAGCCAUUCAUAUAGAUAUUUCCCCAUGUUUAAAAUUUCAAUGUUCCAAUAAAUGACAUGAGCCACUUUUUAAAAAGUCAUAGGAAGUCAUAGAGUGGAAGAGUUUGGAAUAAAAUGGAAGACUUGGAUAUGCACCAAUUAGCCUCUGUGUACUGGAAAAGGCUCACCGUCAUCACUAACUCUUGUAUUUGUGUGACACCCUUCUUCCCUUACCCCAGUCAAGGGUAGGCAAUUCCUGCUGUUGCUUCCUUUAGCAUCUAUAUCACCCUUUCUCUGUCACCUGAAGCUUGUAUGUGAGUCUCAUUAUGGAUUACAGGGGAAUAAACUAUUUUAUUUUUCCCA
Molecule: long non-coding RNA, 855 nt
Filed under: Mus musculus (house mouse)
Lineage: Eukaryota; Metazoa; Chordata; Mammalia; Rodentia; Muridae
Description: predicted gene, 31940
Source: RNAcentral